RNAcentral lists this transfer RNA (75 nucleotides) under marine sediment metagenome. RNAcentral's name for it is "tRNA-Pro". It matches the Rfam family "tRNA". Rfam says of the family: Transfer RNA (tRNA) molecules are approximately 80 nucleotides in length. The record is from RNAcentral.
CUGGGUGUAGCUCAGUUUGUCCAGAGUCCUCCCCUCGGAAGGGAGACGCCGUUGGUUAGAAUCCGGCCACCCCGA